GACGAACGCUGGCGGCGUGCCUAAUACAUGCAAGUAGAACGCUGAAGAGAGGAGCUUGCUCUUCUUGGAUGAGUUGCGAACGGGUGAGUAACGCGUAGGUAACCUGCCUUGUAGCGGGGGAUAACUAUUGGAAACGAUAGCUAAUACCGCAUAACAAUAGGUGACACAUGUCAUUUAUUUGAAAGGGGCAAUUGCUCCACUACAAGAUGGACCUGCGUUGUAUUAGCUAGUAGGUGAGGUAACGGCUCACCUAGGCGACGAUACAUAGCCGACCUGAGAGGGUGAUCGGCCACACUGGGACUGAGACACGGCCCAGACUCCUACGGGAGGCAGCAGUAGGGAAUCUUCGGCAAUAGGGGCAACCCUGACCGAGCAACGCCGCGUGAGUGAAGAAGGUUUUCGGAUCGUAAAGCUCUGUUGUAAGUCAAGAACGAGUGUGAGAGUGGAAAGUUCACACUGUGACGGUAGCUUACCAGAAAGGGACGGCUAACUACGUG
RNAcentral lists this ribosomal RNA (497 nucleotides) under uncultured bacterium. Its description in RNAcentral is "partial 16S ribosomal RNA". It matches the Rfam family "Bacterial small subunit ribosomal RNA", at positions 28 to 507 of the family's 1533-position model. The record is from RNAcentral.